This 253-nucleotide ribosomal RNA is filed under the name uncultured bacterium. Its description in RNAcentral is "partial 16S ribosomal RNA". It matches the Rfam family "Bacterial small subunit ribosomal RNA", at positions 524 to 776 of the family's 1533-position model. The record is from RNAcentral.
UACGUAGGGUGCAAGCGUUAAUCGGAAUUACUGGGCGUAAAGCGUGCGCAGGCGGUUAUAUAAGACAGGUGUGAAAUCCCCAGGCUCAACCUGGGAACUGCGUCUGAUACUGGAUGGCUUGAAUCCGGGAGAGGGAUGCAGAAUUCCAGGUGUAGCGGUGAAAUGCGUAGAUAUCUGGAGGAAUACCGGUGGCGAAGGCGGCAUCCUGGACCGGCAUUGACGCUGAGGAGCGAAAGCUAGGGGAGCAAACGGG